This 406-nucleotide ribosomal RNA is filed under the name uncultured bacterium. RNAcentral's name for it is "bacterial SSU rRNA". It matches the Rfam family "Bacterial small subunit ribosomal RNA", at positions 354 to 776 of the family's 1533-position model. The record is from RNAcentral.
GUGGGGGAUAUUGCACAAUGGGGGAAACCCUGAUGCAGCAACGCCGCGUGAGGGAAGAAGGUCUUCGGAUUGUAAACCUUUGUUUUUGGUGACGAAUAAUGACGGUAGCCAAAGAGGAAGCUCCGGCUAACUACGUGCCAGCAGCCGCGGUAAUACGUAGGGAGCGAGCGUUGUCCGGAAUUACUGGGUGUAAAGGGUGCGCAGGCGGGAGUGCAAGUUGGAUGUGAAAUGCCGGGGCUCAACCCCGGAGCUGCAUCCAAAACUGUACUUCUUGAGUGAAGUAGAGGCAGGCGGAAUUCCGAGUGUAGCGGUGAAAUGCGUAGAUAUUCGGAGGAACACCAGUGGCGAAGGCGGCCUGCUGGGCUUUAACUGACGCUGAGGCACGAAAGCAUGGGGAGCAAACAGG